RNAcentral lists this ribosomal RNA (933 nucleotides) under Triticum aestivum (bread wheat). RNAcentral's name for it is "partial small subunit ribosomal RNA". The record is from RNAcentral. Lineage: Eukaryota; Viridiplantae; Streptophyta; Magnoliopsida; Poales; Poaceae.
AUGGAGAUCUGCUUCCGGAGCACCUCCAUCUGCUCGUCCGUCAUCACCUUGACGUACCCCAGCGCCUCGCCCCUCUCCUCCGCCGGCUCGCCGGCCGCCGCGGCGGCGGAGGCCUUGUCCCACUCCAUGGUCAGCCCGCUCACUCGCAAAAAAGGAGGCGCCCAGGCUGUGGGGAGAAAAGAGGCAGGAAGGAUGGGAUUUUUGGAAAGAAAGAAAAGGAUGGGAUCCUGGUGCCGUGGAAACGGAAGGAAAUCCGCUCGGCCGAUCCCGAAUCCCGGCUGCGGCGGGGCAGUGGAGACUCGCGAAAGGAAAGAGCAAGAUGGAUACGGCGCCUUUCCUCCAGCCGUCUGGGGUAGUAAGUACGUAGGUAGAGAGCUCGAACCGCGACUGUUGGGACCGAAGUGUGCUGCCGGAGGUGAACUUGGGGCAGGGGAGGCCGGCGGUGCUGGCGGAGGUCUGGGGCCGGCGCAGGUGGAGCUCGGGGGGCGGGCCGGAGGUGCUGGGGCCGGCGCAGGUGGAGCUCGGGGGGCGCAGGAUUGUGGGUGGGCGCGGGCCGGAGGUUGGGCUCGCGGUGGAGCCGCCGGAAGGAAACAGGCCUGCUGCUGCAAGAAGAAGUGCGAGGGAACGGAGAAAGAAGAAGAGGUGUCUGCGACAGAGGAGCCAGAGAAGAAGAAGAAGAAGCGGCAGAAGAAAAAGCCGACAGCUCGUGCCAAGGCUUGCAGCUUUGGAUUGGGAAAAGCUGGACACAGAAACCAGGCAGGGAACUAUACUCUAGUAAUAGUACUCUCUCUCUCUCUCUCUCUCUCUCUCCCUGGCUAUUUUGUCUUGGAGGUAGUGGCACUGGCUCAGGCUCAACAUUCACUCCCCUCCUCGCAGUGCUGGUGCUGGCUUGAAGGAUGCCAUGGCCAUGCCAUGCACGGCCGAGAGAUUUAA